UACGGAGGAUGCAAGCGUUAUCCGGAAUGACUGGGCGUAAAGCGUCCGCAGGUGGCUGUGUAAGUCUGCUGUCAAAGAGCAAAGCUCAACUUUGUAAAGGCAGUGGAAACUACACGGCUAGAGUGCGUUCGGGGCAGAGGGAAUUCCUGGUGUAGCGGUGAAAUGCGUAGAGAUCAGGAAGAACACCGGUGGCGAAGGCGCUCUGCUAGGCCGCAACUGACACUGAGGGACGAAAGCUAGGGGAGCGAAUGGG
This 253-nucleotide ribosomal RNA is filed under the name uncultured bacterium. RNAcentral describes it as "partial 16S ribosomal RNA". It matches the Rfam family "Bacterial small subunit ribosomal RNA", at positions 524 to 776 of the family's 1533-position model. The record is from RNAcentral.